Molecule: unclassified non-coding RNA, 379 nt
Filed under: uncultured Gammaproteobacteria bacterium
Lineage: Bacteria; Pseudomonadati; Pseudomonadota; Gammaproteobacteria
Description: contains 16S-23S intergenic spacer region
Source: RNAcentral
UCCCCGUUCUCCUGGGCAGUCUCUCCAGAGUUCCCGGCAUGACCCGUUGGUAACUGAAGACAAGGGUUGCGCUCGUUGCGGGACUUAACCCAACAUCUCACGACACGAGCUGACGACAGCCAUGCAGCACCUGUGCGCCGGUUCUCUUUCGAGCACUCCCUGAUCUCUCAGGGAUUCCGACCAUGUCAAGAGUAGGUAAGGUUUUUCGCGUUGCAUCGAAUUAAUCCACAUCAUCCACCGCUUGUGCGGGUCCCCGUCAAUUCCUUUGAGUUUUAAUCUUGCGACCGUACUCCCCAGGCGGUCUACUUCACGCGUUAGCUGCGUUACCAAGUCAAUUAAGACCCGACAACUAGUAGACAUCGUUUAGGGCGUGGACUAC